CGAGGUUGGGCUCUGGAAAUCACGUUUUUUUUGGCUUCAACACAACCCCCGUUGUUGUUGUGUGUGGUUCCAUUCACGCGUACACCCAGCCGUUGGUUGGGUUUGUUGUGCUUUUUUUUUCGACGUGUUUCACGGGGAAGGCUCUAGUUUUUUCGGUGGUUUCGUCGAGUGCAAAUCCGCGUGCGUGUUCCAUCACUCGAAGGGUAAAUGAGGGACGGUUGCAUGCGUGUGUGCGUGCGUAUGUGAGAUGCAUUCCUCUAGCCUGUGCAUGUGCAAAUGCGACAAAUGCAAGAAUGCUUGCGCACCGAAACACCGUGUGCAGGUUCUGCAAGUGAAGGUGAACAGAUGAGAAAAAAAAAUGUGGUACAAAGGUGCGGGCGAUGAGAAGAAGCAAAACUACGAAUGAGAAGAAGGAAAAAACAAACUACUCCGAAAGCCAGCGUGCGCGAGAUGCUCGAAAGAAGUGCAAUGAAAAUAAAAGCACGCCACACGACGUGCGAGAUGAAACAACGCACACAGGCGCUCGCGCGUGCGUUCGAUGGUCUGUGUUGGUGCGAUGCUCCGGCAGGAACGCUGAGUGCGGACGGAACGAAUCGAGGCAAAAUAACACGCCGAAGGAAACGGCGACCGUGGUUGGGAAGAAGCUGUAAGAAAGAAGAGGAGUAGGUAGGAAAAAUAAAAAAAAAACAAACAAAUACCAAAUGAGAAAAUACGCUGGCGGAUGAGCAGGCAAGCAGGUAGGCAGGCUGGCACGCAGGAAGCAAGGAAUGGCCAGAACGGGCAACGGGGCGAAGAACGAAUGGAGAAAAAGAAAACGAAACGAGCUUACAGCAUCCACGGGCGCACGAGCUUAAGGAAGCUCUGCCGCUUGCGUUGUGAGAAUGUUGCAAAAUUCCACCGCUCACUAGAUCUAUUUUAGAUUAAUCUUCCCUUUUUUUUUUGCUCCACCCGGUCGCGGUUCUGGAUCAUUGGGUGUGCUCUCGUUCACGUUUUGCUUCUUGUUCGUCUUCUCUUUUUGGUUUUCCACUGGAGCUGGCAGCCUGGAGCCUGUCCAUUUACAGUUAGCCGGCGUUUAGGUUGUCGGGCUGUGAGUAGGGCCCUUUUUUGCGGCUCAUUGGACGGGAAUGGAUUCGCAAGAACGACAGUGAGUUGCAAAGAGUGAGAUAGAUAGAGAGACGGACCGAGAGAGAGAGAGAGCGAACAUGUAAGCUUUAAGGGUUCCCACGGUGCACGGAGAUUAAGCCCUUUUUCCUUGCGCGAAUCGGCCGAACGCCCUUUGCGCAGCGCCAUCACGUAAAUGGGCGACAUUUAAACCGGCUGGAAUUAUUUCUCAAUCCGAUCCGAAGGCUCGUUGCCAAUUCUCGUCCGUGUGCACUUUCGGUGCAUUUUGUGCAUCGAUCGAACGACGUGUCUUGAAGAAUCUGGAGGAAGCGCGUCGAUCCUUGCGAGGAUCAUCCAGAACAGCAGCAACAACGGGAUCAAAAAAAAGGUCUCCAGGGUGGGUGGUGCCAGCGGUGGAAUGAUACCUUCUCGUGCGAGUGGUGGCGGACGGCGGGUUUCCUUCCGCAUGCUGGAGCCUCUAAACGGCAGGGAAAACUCGAUCACUCGUCGGAUGGGGUGGACUCGCAUCGCAUAGGUCCGUGUAGCUCGUCGCUGUCGAUGCGGCAUGAAGGCUGGUGGAAGAACACGGAGAGGAUGAGAAGAAAAAAAAAAGUAUUAAAUUCUCACAUCCUCCCAUCGGGCGGGUGUAAUUGCGUCCAUCGCAUCCUUAUGGGUGGCACGCGGAAGAAAAGAAUGACGGCACCUCGGUCGGCGAGUGAACAUUCCGUCGGAGCCGGCAAGCGCAAGGAACGCAAGGAACGCAAGGAGCGGAAGGAACUCGCCGAGAAGGCGACAUUGCUGAUGGUGGCGAAUGGUCGGCUAAAAGAAGCGACCAACAGCGCGGGCACACUUAAUCGACGGUGAAACGUAAGCUAAAGAGCACGAAAAACACAGGCGAAAAAAAAAAACGUUGCCCCACGCCACCGAUGGGAAUGUGCAGCGAGUGUUGAGAAAAUAAAGCAUCGCAAGGGCAUCGUGACCCUCAGGAAAAA
Molecule: long non-coding RNA, 2093 nt
Organism: Anopheles nili
Lineage: Eukaryota; Metazoa; Arthropoda; Insecta; Diptera; Culicidae
Exons: 2
Source: RefSeq, a predicted model, not a curated record